RNAcentral lists this non-coding RNA (82 nucleotides) under Pseudomonas sp. NFR02. The record is from RNAcentral. RNAcentral also lists the same sequence under 1 other name. Lineage: Bacteria; Pseudomonadati; Pseudomonadota; Gammaproteobacteria; Pseudomonadales; Pseudomonadaceae.
CCUAAUGUGGGAGCUGGCUUGCCUGCGAUAGCGGCAGUGAGUUCACUCCAGUCAUCGCAGGCAAGCCAGCUCCCACAUCAAA